UGCGAAGGGGGCUAGCGUUGCUCGGAAUUACUGGGCGUAAAGGGCGCGUAGGCGGAUAGUUUAGUCAGAGGUGAAAGCCCAGGGCUCAACCUUGGAAUUGCCUUUGAUACUGGCUGUCUUGAGUACGGGAGAGGUGAGUGGAACUCCGAGUGUAGAGGUGAAAUUCGUAGAUAUUCGGAAGAACACCAGUGGCGAAGGCGACUCACUGGCCCGUUACUGACGCUGAGGCGCGAAAGCGUGGGGAGCAAACAGG
Molecule: ribosomal RNA, 253 nt
Filed under: uncultured bacterium
Lineage: Bacteria
Description: partial 16S ribosomal RNA
Rfam family: Bacterial small subunit ribosomal RNA
Source: RNAcentral